UUAUGCGACUUAUUGGUCUUGUUGAGCGAUGGGGGUUGGGGCUGCUUGUGUGAAUCGAGGGGGGAGGGAGUGUAUUUUCGCAGUGAUCUGCCCAUCUUGUGCGUCCCCUCCCUGCUUAAGCUGAAUAAUGUGGUCAGGAUACCAUGUUCAGGAGAUGUCUAAUCGGGUCGCACCAAAACUGAUACGUUGCAAUGGCUGCUCUUUAAUAACGGAGACGUUACUCUUUUAAUAUUAAAGGACGUUUUUGCCCCCUGAUUUUGGUGGGAUCCACUGAAUGGAAAAGAACUUGAAACUCAUUCAAGAGUCAAGAAAAGAAAAUGCUAUAGAGGAGGUUUUAUCGAGAGCACAUAUGAAGAACAUUGAGGACAAUGGCGACUGUGGACUCAGGCAGUCCCUGGGUUGCACAAGGGUUCCAUUCUGGAGUAGGUUUACAAAUCAAUUUGUAAACAAGUCGAAACACCAUGCAAGACAAUGUAAAGCAUCUGUUUGUAAAUACAGAAAAUGUUUGAAAGUUGAAUGUUUAAAAUUAUAUCCCUGUACAAGAUCACAUUCUUAAGUACAAGCAUUUGUAAGUCAGACAUUCGUAAACCGGAGAUCCCCUGUAAAUAGCUUUGUUCAUUCCAGUUUGUAUAAUUAUAUAAUAUUUUCUAUAACUCAUUUUAUUGUUAAAACAGAAUCUGCAGCAUUUCGUUUUUGUGUUUCAGUAGGGAAAAAAAAACUUGUUAAAUAAAACCCAAAUGUAAUUGUUCAAGCCAAA
Chiloscyllium plagiosum (whitespotted bambooshark) is the source of this 757-nucleotide long non-coding RNA. RefSeq lists it as uncharacterized. Lineage: Eukaryota; Metazoa; Chordata; Chondrichthyes; Orectolobiformes; Hemiscylliidae. The record is from RefSeq and is a predicted model, not a curated record.